Molecule: small nucleolar RNA, 107 nt
Filed under: Nicotiana attenuata
Lineage: Eukaryota; Viridiplantae; Streptophyta; Magnoliopsida; Solanales; Solanaceae
Description: Plant small nucleolar RNA R71
Rfam family: Plant small nucleolar RNA R71
About the family: R71 is a member of the C/D box family of snoRNAs containing the C (UGAUGA) and D (CUGA) box motifs.
Source: Rfam by way of RNAcentral
AUUGCACUAUGUUGACACUUUCUGACUAUCUCCUUAAAACUCUCCCAAGCUUCAAACACAGUUUCGGUAUCUUUCUGGCAAAAGUUGUGGAUUUGUAUUCUAAACUU